RNAcentral lists this ribosomal RNA (388 nucleotides) under uncultured bacterium. RNAcentral's name for it is "bacterial SSU rRNA". It matches the Rfam family "Bacterial small subunit ribosomal RNA", at positions 28 to 417 of the family's 1533-position model. The record is from RNAcentral.
GAUAAACGCUGGCGGCGUGCAUGAGACAUGCAAGUCGAACGGACGAUCGGGGCUUGCUCUGAUCGUUAGUGGCGGACGGCUGAGUAACGCGUAGGUGACCUGCCCCGAAGUGGGGAAUAACUGCCCGAAAGGGUGGCUAAUACCGCAUGUGGUGGUGCCUUCAUGGGCACCAGUAAAGCCGCAAGGCGCUUCGGGAGGGGCCUGCGUCCGAUUAGCUCGUUGGUGGGGUAACGGCUCACCAAGGCGACGAUCGGUAGGUGGUCUGAGAGGACGAUCACCCAGACUGGGACUGAGACACGGCCCAGACUCCUACGGGAGGCAGCAGUCGGGAAUUUUGCGCAAUGGACGAAAGUCUGACGCAGCAACGCCGCGUGAGGGAUGACGGCCU